RNAcentral lists this ribosomal RNA (465 nucleotides) under uncultured bacterium. RNAcentral describes it as "partial 16S ribosomal RNA". It matches the Rfam family "Bacterial small subunit ribosomal RNA", at positions 28 to 507 of the family's 1533-position model. The record is from RNAcentral.
GACGAACGCUGGCGGCGUGCUUAACACAUGCAAGUCGAACGGAAAGGCCCCUUUGGGGGUACUCGAGUGGCGAACGGGUGAGUAACACGUGAGUAACCUGCCCUUGACUUCGGGAUAACUUCAGGAAACUGGGGCUAAUACCGGAUAGGAAUCCUUGCUGCAUGGUGGGGGUUGGAAAGCUUCGGCGGUUUUGGAUGGACUCGCGGCUUAUCAGCUUGUUGGUGGGGUAGUGGCUUACCAAGGCUUUGACGGGUAGCCGGCCUGAGAGGGCGACCGGCCACAUUGGGACUGAGAGACGGCCCAGACGCCUACGGGAGGCAGCAGUGGGGAAUAUUGCACAAUGGGCGGAAGCCGGAUGCAGCAACGCCGCGUGCGGGAGGACGGCCUUCGGGUUGUAAACCGCUUUCAGCAGGGGCGAAGCUUGUGGUGACGGUACCUGCAGAAGAAGCACCGGCUAACUACGUG